This is a non-coding RNA of Paramuricea clavata, 135 nucleotides long. The record is from the annotation of a GenBank genome assembly. Lineage: Eukaryota; Metazoa; Cnidaria; Anthozoa; Malacalcyonacea; Plexauridae.
AUUACCAGAUCGACGCUCUACCUCCUGAGCUACACGGUCAGACGGAUUUAAGACUGGAAAUUAUGAAAUAUAUAAUUUCCAGUCUUAAAUCCGUCUGACCGUGUAGCUCAGUAGGUAGAGCGUCGAUCUGGUAAU